CAGCAGCCGCGGGAAUACGUAGGUGGCAAGCGUUGUCCGGAAUUAUUGGGCGUAAAGGGCUCGCAGGCGGUUUCUUAAGUCUGAUGUGAAAGCCCCCGGCUCAACCGGGGAGGGUCAUUGGAAACUGGGAAACUUGAGUGCAGAAGAGGAGAGUGGAAUUCCACGUGUAGCGGUGAAAUGCGUAGAGAUGUGGAGGAACACCAGUAGCGAAGGCGACUCUCUGGUCUGUAACUGACGCUGAGGAGCGAAAGCGUGGGGAGCGAACAGGAUUAGAUACCCCAGUAGUCCCUGUCUCUUAUAC
Molecule: ribosomal RNA, 301 nt
Filed under: uncultured bacterium
Lineage: Bacteria
Description: partial 16S ribosomal RNA
Rfam family: Bacterial small subunit ribosomal RNA
Source: RNAcentral